GUGGCUAGUGUCGCCUUUGUUGUUGUUUAAUCGUGAAACGAGGCGAAAAAGGCGAAACAAAUUGUAGCCAUUUAAUACUUAUAUUCCUGUGAUUUCAUUUACCAAAUUGAACUUCGUAACUUAUACAGAUGCAUACUGUCAGUCAUUCCAUACAAGCUGACUUAACGCUCAGUCAAUUUCCAUCCAUUAGGCCCAUCAUGCUAUCAAAAGACUAAAACUAAUGUUUGAAUCUCACAUAUGGAAUACACAUCUCCAGAGUAAAGGACUUUUCUGAAUCUCGCAAUUUUGGUGGUGUAACCUGCAACAUUAUGUUUACUGUUAUAGCUGUUUCUACUUCUGUCUAAAAGAUAACCCAGCUAAGAGAUAGAGUUUCAGUGACAUGAAGAGUGUGAUGUGAAUAAUGAUGUGUGUAUGCAUACAUGUUCCAGUUCUGCUUGAUGCCUUACUAAAUUCAUCACCCGUAUGAUAAAGCAUCAGGAAAUCUCAACAUGUGGAGUAAUGCUGUUGGUUUCUGUGAUUUCCAUUUUUACGGUUUUUUCAUCAUGAAAAUUGCAGUGUGCUUCUUAGAAAAGAGCACGUAAGAGAUCCUUAAGCCAAUGCUGAUCAUUCUCCAUGACGGAAGAAGGACUUCCACCUACGUUCGGCUACAUCCUAAUCUUCUCGACGUACGAUCAUCCAGCUUCACUGCUUCAGUGCUUCUUAUGCUGAAAAACAACUUUUCUUGCUUCACUGGCGAGGCUGGAUCACUUCAGUUGC
Long non-coding RNA from Daphnia pulex (common water flea), 756 nucleotides. RefSeq lists it as uncharacterized. NCBI's taxonomy places the organism in Eukaryota, Metazoa, Arthropoda, Branchiopoda, Diplostraca, Daphniidae. The record is from RefSeq and is a predicted model, not a curated record. The transcript is spliced from 6 exons.